Molecule: long non-coding RNA, 831 nt
Filed under: Pongo abelii (Sumatran orangutan)
Lineage: Eukaryota; Metazoa; Chordata; Mammalia; Primates; Hominidae
Description: lincRNA
Source: RNAcentral
CUGUGAUGUGGAGGUCAUGGCUCCACUGGACUCAUGAGGAGACUGAGGCUCAGAGCAAUGAAGUGACCUGCUCAAAGUUAAGGAGCUUCAGUGAGGACCCAAUUUGUUCUGAUCCUAAGGUCACUAUCCUUAAUUCCUCUCCCUGUGGGGUCUUCCCUUUCUUGAGCCUGUGGACAGCAGUGCAGUGGCAAGAGAAAGGCCUUCAGAGCUAUGCAGACCUGGCUUCAAGUCCCAGCCUCCCUGAUGAGCCCUGGUGGUCUUGCAUGCUUGCCCUUGGGACUCAGACACCAUAUUUUGAGGAAGCCCAAGCUGCAUGCAGAGGCCACUGUAGUUGUUCUGGCCAACAGCCCAAGCUUCAGCUGCCAGAUAUAUGAAUAAACCAACUCUUCAAACGAUUUCAGUUUCCAGACUUCAAUACCUCCCAGGUAAUGUCCAGAGGAGCAGAGAUGAAGCAUCCUCUCUGAGCCCUGCCCAAAUGCAGACUUGAGAACAAACUAAAUGCCAUUGUCUCAAGCCACUAAUUUUCAGGGUGGCUUGGUACACAGCACCAGGUAACAGGAAUAGCCCCCCUCUUCCUCUGCAGCUCUCCCCAGGUACAGGCAAGUUCCCCAACCCAUGCUUCAUCCCCACCCCACAGACAGAACCUGGAGUCAGUCCUUCCACCCACAACUGUGCCUUCCAAACUAAGCUCAAAGUCCAGCUCUGUUGCUUUCAGAUGGGUGCCCUAGGGCAAGUCACCAACCCUAUAUGACAAAUCCCUCUGUGUAAAAUGGGAAUUGUAAUAGUGCCCCUGAGGAGUCUUGGAGGGAUUUAAUAAAGUGCCUGGAACAU